UACGGGGGGGGCAAGCGUUGUUCGGAAUUACUGGGCGUAAAGGGCUCGUAGGUGGCCAACUAAGUCAGACGUGAAAUCCCCCGGCUUAACCGGGGAACUGCGUCUGAUACUGGAUGGCUUGAAUCCGGGAGAGGGAUGCGGAAUUCCAGGUGUAGCGGUGAAAUGCGUAGAUAUCUGGAGGAACACCGGUGGCGAAGGCGGCAUCCUGGACCGGCAUUGACGCUGAGGAGCGAAAGCCAGGGGAGCAAACGGG
This 253-nucleotide ribosomal RNA is filed under the name uncultured bacterium. RNAcentral describes it as "partial 16S ribosomal RNA". It matches the Rfam family "Bacterial small subunit ribosomal RNA", at positions 524 to 776 of the family's 1533-position model. The record is from RNAcentral.